Molecule: transfer RNA, 68 nt
Filed under: Rattus norvegicus (Norway rat)
Lineage: Eukaryota; Metazoa; Chordata; Mammalia; Rodentia; Muridae
Rfam family: tRNA
About the family: Transfer RNA (tRNA) molecules are approximately 80 nucleotides in length.
Source: Rfam by way of RNAcentral
GGGGAUUUAGCUCAGUGGUAGAGCACUUGCCUAGCAAGCGUAAGGCCCUGGGUUCGGUCCCAGCUCCG